GAGUUUGAUCCUGGCUCAGAUUGAACGCUGGCGGUAUGCUUAACACAUGCAAGUCGAACGGUAGCAGGCCUUCGGGCGCUGACGAGUGGCGGACGGGUGAGUAACGCGUAGGAAUCUGCCUCAUAGUGGGGGACAACGUGGGGAAACCCACGCUAAUACCGCAUACGCCCUACAGGGGAAAGCGGGGGACCUUCGGGCCUCGCGCUAUGAGAUGAGCCUGCGUUAGAUUAGCUAGUUGGUAGGGUAAAGGCCUACCAAGGCGACGAUCUAUAGCUGGUCUGAGAGGACGAUCAGCCACACUGGGACUGAGACACGGCCCAGACUCCUACGGGAGGCAGCAGUGGGGAAUAUUGGACAAUGGGCGCAAGCCUGAUCCAGCAAUACCGCGUGUGUGAAGAAGGCCCUAGGGUUGUAAAGCACUUUCAAUGGGGAGGAAAACCUGCCGGUCAAUACCCGGUAGCUUGACAUUACCUAUAGAAGAAGCACCGGCUAACUCCGUGCCAGCAGCCGCGGUAAUACGGAGGGUGCGAGCGUUAAUCGGAAUUACUGGGCGUAAAGCGUGCGUAGGCGGUUCGUUAAGUCAGAUGUGAAAGCCCCGGGCUUAACCUGGGAACUGCAUUUGAAACUGGCGGACUUGAGUUGAGUAGA
RNAcentral lists this ribosomal RNA (648 nucleotides) under uncultured Methylobacter sp. Its description in RNAcentral is "bacterial SSU rRNA". It matches the Rfam family "Bacterial small subunit ribosomal RNA", at positions 9 to 655 of the family's 1533-position model. The record is from RNAcentral. Lineage: Bacteria; Pseudomonadati; Pseudomonadota; Gammaproteobacteria; Methylococcales; Methylococcaceae.